Molecule: long non-coding RNA, 3595 nt
Organism: Phyllopteryx taeniolatus (common seadragon)
Lineage: Eukaryota; Metazoa; Chordata; Actinopteri; Syngnathiformes; Syngnathidae
Exons: 3
Source: RefSeq, a predicted model, not a curated record
UAAAGUCAGGUCAAAACAAAUAAAAUAAAUAAUAUCAAUGUAAAUAAUAAUAAUAAUAAUAUAGUACAAUAAGUUCAAAGGUGCUUGCAAUAAGCAUUUGUUAUUUUAAAAGUGAGUACAAAGCAAUAAAGUUGGGUAUAUGAAUAAAUAACUAUAAAUAAAUAGUACAACAGAUAAGGUUAAAAUGUGUUAUGUUUUUUUUCCCAAAAAUACAUGCGUACUUUUUGAACGUGCAAUUCACAGUUUUGCCACCAGUUGCACCACGUGCCCGCAAGACGGGGCAAAAUAUCAGUAGUUUGCUGACAUUUGCAAAAGCAAAGCUUGUCAAUCUUUUCGGGUCAAGGGAAGACGGAAAACGUCCGUUAAAAUUAACUCCCAUGUGCAUUAUUAGCCAUAUUAUAUAUGUUGUUGAUUUUUGUGCUGCGGGAUCGUGUCAAAUUUCCCUUAAUUGGGCCGUUCAUUAUUCAUUUACAACAAAUAAUGUAUCUUUGUUCAUCUAUCUAUGCCAGUGAUGUAUAGUGACAGGCAGAACAAUUAAAUGUUUUGCCAUUAGAUGGCAAUUAACCUUUGUAUUCAGUUUUGUAACAUUUUUGCUUGGUGGUAUGCCAUGAGAUUUUCACACGCCCCCCCCCCCCCCAAUGUAAAACAUGUGCCUUGACUCAGUAAAUGUUGGGGAAAAAAAAUCUACAUUAUGUUGCUAAAUAAAGUGACCUAUAAUAUGAGCUCUUUUAUAAUGCAGGCGAUCGCGUAAUUUGGGAUCAGUCUCAACGCUUUGCAUAAUUAAACAGUAGCUUCAAUAAUACAUGACGCAAUGAAGCACUCCGGAAGGAUGGCCCUGCCCACCCGAAAGUUGACACAAUACUUUGGAGGCAGAUUAGAAACAUAGUCCAUCCCCUCCUGAGACAUAUUUGACAAAUUAAAGAUGCAAUAUAUUCAACAAUGAGCGCAACAAAACAACAGCUGGAUGUGGAGGUAGAAAAGCAAAUUGAUCUUCUGCACCUCGUUUGACUCAACUGUCUGCUGGAUGUUUUUUGCGUUGUGAAUAUGAUGAAUCCAUUUUAAUUCACCGAGAGCGAAAUUUGUUUGUACAGCAGGUGGAUUAAGACACUACAACACCCACAAGCCUCGGGCACAGCUAUAAAAGAGAAAAUAUUGACACAGAGCGGACGCUAUGGGUUGUUCCUUCUACAAACAUGCACAAAAGUGCUGAGACACACCUCUUGAGCCAUUAGGUAAUCAAUCAGGCGUUACACUUGGAACACUUACAAAUUUAUAUAUAUAUUUUUUUUACUUUUGCAUAAAUGCAUGUCUCUAUCACCUACAGUGGAUAUUUAAAAAAAAAAUAAUAAUAAUAAAAAAAUAAAAAUAAAAAGUCUACACCCAAGCAGGUUUUGUGAACGCAUGUUAAAUGGAAGUCAGCGCACAACUGCUGCCAUUUAAGGUACCUCAAAUAAAGUUCUGAUGUUCUAGUAGACCUUUCCUGACAUUUCUUUUUGUUUAACAGAAGCCUGAAGGCUUUGUGCUAACACAGACUGCAGUUUAAAACCGCAUUCCCUCCACCUCCGAUUCCAUCUGGAAAAAAACCGGCCCCAACGCAUGACGCUGCCACCAUCAUGCUUCACCGUAGGAAUGAUUUUCUUUUGCUGAUGAGCAGUGCUGAAUUUGUGUCAAACAUGCCUUUUGGAAUUUUUCCACAUGCGUGUGGGGGAUUUCAAGUGUGCUGUUGCAAAAUGUAGCCAGGUUCACAUGCCUGUCUUUGCACGAUAAGCCCAACCUGAAAAGGCAUGUGCGAGCAAGGCGGCCUACAAACUUGGCUUACAAACUCCGCUCCUGUCAGGAGGAAUAGGCCAACAUAUCUGCCAACUGUGGAAGGAUAUCCACAAAGUUUGACCCAAGUCAUACAGUUUAAAAGUAAUAGCACUAAAUACUACUGAAAUGUAUGUAAACUUCUGUUACUUCAAGAAAGUAAUACAAAAUGUCUUUUAAAAAAAAAUCAUUCUGUCAUUAUUUUGGCAUUUAGCGAACAGAAAUAAUUUUGGUAAUCGUAAUUGACAUAAAACAGGAAAAGUUUAGUCUGAUUUCAUGUCACAGUAAGAAAUCAAAUAAGUGUCUUUUUAUACACUGUAGCGUAUGUAAACUUCUGGUUUCAACGGUAUCUACCUAGCAACCUCUGCAUUAUACAUGCAAAAGCUAGCUUUCGUUGCGUUUAAUCGAAACUGUGAGACAACAAGACGAAUAUUGGUAAUGGCCAUUAGACGGUGCAGUAGAUAAGUGCACUGGCAAGCAGUUGUUGCAAAUGUAAACUCUUAACCCGACUUCGUUGCCUCUGGCCAUUUGAGUGUUUUACUAGAAAGCACGAGACGAGGCAAUGUGCACAGAGGUGGAAUGAACAGGAGUGGAGUAAGCGUAAAAGGCUCUUCCGCAAAGGUCCACAAUGGGAAUUUAUGACAGCUCCUGUGAAGGCAUACCAGCGGCUGACACUGCUUGUAAGUACCGUGUUCUGCAUAUACCGUGAUGUCAGCGUGUCGUAUGACAGAGGAGGAAACACACAAGAGCGACUGCAGUACGUUCACAAGGUCAAAGCUUCGCCAAGGUGAACCAAACAAGCUCACCAGUUGUGUCACUUGGCACUGGAGGUCAGGACAGGAAGUGUUGCGCAGCAAAAUUGAACCGGCAUGUGUUGUGUGCUCGAGAUUAUUUUGUGGGGUCUACUCAUAGAAGACAUGAUUGACAACCCAAUGUCAUUUUGCUCAGAGAAACGUCAUUCUUUCAUCCGCAUUAAGCAUCAAUCGGCUUCUACAGUCCAACCUCAAGAGAACGAUUAAAACUCAAAGGUCAAAGGCAAAGUCCCGAGGCUGAAAGGAAUGGUGCUAAACCGGCAUUAGGAAAACGAAAGAUAUGCGACCUGAGGUCAUCCCCAGUGAAGUUGAAAGUGUUUUCCUGGGUGAACGAGAGAGAGCAACUUCAAUCGAGAAGUCCUUUGAAGAAGUUUAAAGCAAACUAACGAACCCCCCUUCCAGCGCCAAAUACAGUCGGCCCAAUGCAGGCAGCUCGUGGACUGCGCGCUUUUUCCCCCCCCCCAGUGGAAAUGUUUGCUUCUUCUCUCAUCUAUUUCUGACCACCUCCCUCCUUUGAAAUGCGAUUGAUCGUCCUUGUGCAUGUUGGUAAUCAAUAGAGGCAGCCGCCAUCCUUAUUCCCGCGCUGUACGUUUCAAGCGAAAGGUGUUCAGCGGUGUUUCUUCUCACCCUCCAAAUCUACCAGCAUCACUUCUGUAUUGUUACGACACAUUUUAUUUAAGAGAGAAAAUCUUCUGUAUAACAGUUUUCUUUAAUAUCCUCCGCUGCCUAAUAUUCUUUUGAAUAAAUAAAAACAAAAACAUUGCAUUUCCAUGUUUCCAUUAUUUCCUAUGGGCAAGUGCACUGCAUUACGCAGUGAGAUGUUUCUAAUAUUUCGACCCGACAACCGACUGGCAACCGGUCCAGGUGUUCCCCGAUCCUCUCGCUCAAAGUUAACUGGGAAUUCAGAACUUGUUUUUUGUCAGGUCUCAUCUUGCGCAAAGAUCCCCUUGAAAACCAAAAACGUGCCACCACUCUGC